UUGGCAGUUGCAUUUUGUGGUCAGAA
RNAcentral lists this non-coding RNA (26 nucleotides) under Homo sapiens (human). Lineage: Eukaryota; Metazoa; Chordata; Mammalia; Primates; Hominidae. The record is from RNAcentral.